Venturia canescens is the source of this 692-nucleotide long non-coding RNA. RefSeq lists it as uncharacterized. The transcript is spliced from 3 exons. NCBI's taxonomy places the organism in Eukaryota, Metazoa, Arthropoda, Insecta, Hymenoptera, Ichneumonidae. The record is from RefSeq and is a predicted model, not a curated record.
GAUACCCAACAAAGAGGAGGGCCAAUCGGUUUGAAGCUUAGUCCACACCACGGUGCCCAUCGAGCCUGUUAACUCGUAACGGAAUAAAACAACGAAAACAACUCAUUUUCUAACUGAUUUUUCACUUAAUUAAUUAAAUAUUGAUGAAUAAAAUUGAUUAAAACACUGUUAAAAUUGGUUUAUUGUUCGAAUGUUGCGGUUUUUUUUCACGAAUAUUUGCAGAGGGAGCCGUUCGUAAAGAUUGAUGAAAAGUGUGAUCGUCGUCUCCGAGGCAAAAUUUAUUGUGAAUGUGUGUACGUGGACUACGGAUUUUGAUUGAUUGCCGAAGAUACGUUUCGACGUUUUUGAACGCGAGAUGCUCCAUCGACUCGUCUCGAGCCCGAGGUCGCUGACCUACCGUUUGGGGUAAUGCGGGUCAGCGUUUUACCUGCAGCGGGUGUUUUCAUUUUUUUUCUCUUUCGAUCGGACACCGAGAAUAGACUAUAAAAAUGUUCUCUUCGAAUACAGAUUCAAAUGAACCUACAGAAUUUCAGUAUCGACGACGACUUUGAACAGGGCGAGGUGAGCGGGAGUCUCGCGCGAUAAAAAACUGUCACACACGUGCCCGAUCGGAAUUCGAGUGCGAAAUCCGAGUCCGGAAAAUCGUGGCGUUCGAUCAAUUCUCACGAACAAUCGAUUAUUGUUUUUCUUCG